AAACUCACCUGACGCCGGGGGUUAUUGGUAAGACUCAAGACCAGGCUCCCUGGCUGAGGUUGCCAUUGCACCGUGGCAGCUGAAGCUUACAUCUACUCCAAAUUGGGUAGGGUUGAGGCGUCUAAUUUCUGGUAGUGGAAAGAAAGGCAUUCAUUGCCUUUUCCAC
RNAcentral lists this small nuclear RNA (166 nucleotides) under Haemaphysalis longicornis (longhorned tick). RNAcentral describes it as "U1 spliceosomal RNA". It matches the Rfam family "U1 spliceosomal RNA". Rfam says of the family: U1 is a small nuclear RNA (snRNA) component of the spliceosome (involved in pre-mRNA splicing). Its 5' end forms complementary base pairs with the 5' splice junction, thus defining the 5' donor site of an intron. The record is from Rfam by way of RNAcentral. Lineage: Eukaryota; Metazoa; Arthropoda; Arachnida; Ixodida; Ixodidae.